Molecule: non-coding RNA, 778 nt
Organism: Myodes glareolus (Bank vole)
Lineage: Eukaryota; Metazoa; Chordata; Mammalia; Rodentia; Cricetidae
Source: RefSeq, a predicted model, not a curated record
GGAGCAGGACACCAACAUUCCUGCCAGGAACAGCUGUAUAUAUGCAGUGUGACAUCUGGAAAGACAACUGCAAUUGUUUCAAGGGGCUGGCAAGAGUGGAAGAAUCUUGAAUCAAAGACCAAAUGAAAGUGGGAAUCCAGAGGAACAAUGGUCCUCUGUGAGAACAGCGAAGGUUGACAAGAGUCACCAGAGCAAGGGGCAGGCUGACAGGAGCAAGGGACAAGUGGAGUCGGCCCAACGGGGCUCAUUAACUCGGCGGUCUUCUUCGUGGCCGGAGGCCUUGAUCUUCACUAGAAAACUCCAUACUGUCAUAAGUGAUACGUCUCCGACUCCUUCCGCUCCUGCGCUGAUGAGCUCGCUGGGCCCUGGCACAAGUCAUGUCUUCUGAUCCUGUAAGGAUGGUGGACAUCACACUUAGAGGAUCGUCCUGUCUCUGUGUCAAGUCAGAGUAGCAGUAUACAGUCCAGGAAAUGGGUUGCCAUGGUCCUGGCGUUUCUUCCCAGCAACAGAACGCUGACUAAGACACUUCUCGGCCGCAGCUGUUAGCAGCAGUCACAUUUACAGAGAUGGUUACUGUGGAGAAAAGUGACAACUGCCGUAGGUGGCCGCCUACCCACUGCUGAGAAGCUGGGGCACUGUUCCAGAGACACUUACCAUGUUCCUCCAGAUGUCUGGCAGCCUCAGGUCCCCUGGGACCCUGUCCUGCUUAGUCAGCCGCCCGAAGUGACAGGGGCGUUGGAGUCCCUUGCUACUCUGCCCAGGUAGCGUCUGCUUUUGU